GUGUGAUGCCACAAACACCCAUGAUAAAGCUUAAAUACUGAGGAAUCUGAUCACAAAGCACCACAAAAGCGGAUAGCAAUACAAAAUAGAAAUACAAAUCUCUUGAAAGACCACAUCAAAGAGAUACUUCUCUCACCAGCUUCCCGUCAAAAUCACUUGACAACUCGUUUACAUAGAGACUUAUGUUCUUUGUCUUUUAAUUAACAACAUCAUCGGCCCAUGGAUCUAAACUCGACCUCACGCUACAAUAAGAGAAUUAUCAGUAACAGUUUACGAACAAUAUAUCAUUAGUGGAUCAACAUGGUGUCACCACUUUUUAAUAGAUACAAAUCCUAACCUGCUUGGAUUGUUUCAUGGAUAUAUACUAUUCCAACAUAUGUCUUCCCUCCAACGUACCUCUGUUUUGAAGUGAUGUUAAUGGGUCCAUAUACUUGUUGAAACUUAUUCUGUAAAACUCAUUUUACUCCACUGUUGUCACCUCCUUAGAGUCCCGAAUCUGCAACAAAUAGAAAUAUACUCUUUAAUUGAUUCCAUAAUUUUGAUUCUGAGCGUACAUGUACAUGAGAUACAUAGAGCAGUCCUAAAUCCUUACCCAACUUGGUU
This 603-nucleotide long non-coding RNA is filed under the name Brassica napus (rape). Its description in RNAcentral is "long non-coding RNA (BNAP_LNC023263)". Lineage: Eukaryota; Viridiplantae; Streptophyta; Magnoliopsida; Brassicales; Brassicaceae. The record is from RNAcentral.